UCAUUCUAGAAAGAAUAAAUAGGAGCUUGCAAAAAAUUAGCAUCAACAAGCAUUAGAACCAAAUGUUAAGGGUAAAAAGGGGGAAAAAAAAAGCAGUAGUUCGUAAAACUUUUACCAAUGUGGAAGUAUCAAUCAACUGAAAUUCUUAAAGCAAAUCAUAUUAAAUCUUCAAUAUGGGAAAGUAUGCUUUUUUUGGUUAAAACAUGGGUAAUUACUUUAAAAUUGUUUCUAUCAUGAUGACCUUGUAAACUCUUAACUUUAAUCUAACAACACAAAUGUAGAUGUACAGAAUUAAGAAAGUAUCUUGGCCUGAAAAACCACUGAAGAAAAAGUUCAAUUUACUUAUGCAAUUAAAUUAUUUCAUAGCUAGGUUACCACACAAAGUAGAGGUGUGGACAGGAACACAAUUUACAAGGGGGAAAAAUUUUUGACCUAAUUAACAGCUAAACUAGCAAUUAAUUCUGUGCAAUAAAAUAUAAAAUACCUGAAUAACACUCAGUCCAGUUUCACAGUUUAUAAAGAACAAAUAGACUAGUAGGCAUCAUAGUGGCCGAAUUUUUCAUGGCAAGUUUGUGCAUCUCAUUG
Molecule: unclassified non-coding RNA, 585 nt
Filed under: Hevea brasiliensis (rubber tree)
Lineage: Eukaryota; Viridiplantae; Streptophyta; Magnoliopsida; Malpighiales; Euphorbiaceae
Source: RNAcentral